Molecule: ribosomal RNA, 832 nt
Filed under: uncultured bacterium
Lineage: Bacteria
Description: bacterial SSU rRNA
Rfam family: Bacterial small subunit ribosomal RNA
Source: RNAcentral
CUGGCGGCGUGCCUAAUACAUGCAAGUCGAGCGAGAAAUUGAUUAUUGAAACUUCGGUAGAUUUAAUCAAUGGAAAGCGGCGGUCGGGUGAGUAACGCGUAGGCAACCUGCCCUUAGCAGAGGGAUAGCCAUUGGAAACGAUGAUUAAAACCUCAUAAUGCAUUUGUGACACAUGUCACGGAUGCCAAAGAUUUAUCGGCUAGGGAUGGGCCUGCGUCUGAUUAACUAGUUGGUGAGGUAACGGCCCACCAAGGUGACGAUCAGUAGCCGACCUGAGAGGGUGAUCGGCCACAUUGGAACUGAGACACGGUCCAAACUUCUACGGAAGGCAGCAGUAAGGAAUCUUGCACAAUGGGGGAAACCCUGAUGCAGCAACGCCGCGUGAACGAUGAAGGCCUUCGGGUUGUAAAGUUCUGAUCUUGGGGAAGAAGAAAGUGACGGUACCCAAGGAGAAAGCCCCGGCUAACUACGUGCCAGCAGCCGCGGUAAUACGUAGGGGGCAAGCGUUAUCCGGAAUUAUUGGGCGUAAAGCGUGCGUAGGUGGUUACCUAGGCGCAAGGUUUAAUCUUGAGGCUCAACCUCAUUCUGCCUUGCGAACUGGGCUACUUGAGUGCAGGAGGGGAAAGCGGAAUUCCUAGUGUAGCGGUGAAAUGCGUAGAUAUUAGGAAGAACACCAGAGGCGAAGGCGGCUUUCUGGACUGUAACUGACACUGAGGCACGAAAGCGUGGGGAGCAAACAGGAUUAGAUACCCUGGUAGUCCACGCCGUAAACGAUGAGCACUAGUUGUUGGGUCCGAAUGGAUUCAGUGACGCAGUUAACGCAAUAAGUGCU